RNAcentral lists this unclassified non-coding RNA (258 nucleotides) under uncultured Pleosporales. Its description in RNAcentral is "sequence contains 5.8S rRNA gene, ITS2, 28S rRNA gene". Lineage: Eukaryota; Fungi; Ascomycota; Dothideomycetes; Pleosporales. The record is from RNAcentral.
AACGCACAUUGCGCCCCUUGGUAUUCCAUGGGGCAUGCCUGUUCGAGCGUCAUCUACACCCUCAAGCUCUGCUUGGUGUUGGGCGUCUGUCCCCGCCUCCGCGCGGCGGACUCGCCCCAAAUUCAUUGGCAGCGGUGUCUUUUUGCCCCAGUCUCGCGCAGCACAUUGCGCUUGCAGCACUGUCGGCGGCCCGCGAUCCAGCAAGCUCCUUUCACCGUCUUUGACCUCGGAUCAGGUAGGGAUACCCGCUGAACUUAA